CCUUCGCUGCCCGGCCCGUUAGGACAUCAUUCCCCGGGGCCUUACAGACAUUCUCGGGAGCUGCCUCUGGCUUGGGUCGUGGCCCUUACUACGCGGCGCCCACCUGAACCUUCGGGUCCAGGGCGAAUAUACUGUCCGACGGCCGGUGCGGCACAUUC
RNAcentral lists this non-coding RNA (158 nucleotides) under Parvularcula maris. Its description in RNAcentral is "6S / SsrS RNA". It matches the Rfam family "6S / SsrS RNA". From Rfam's summary of the family: E. coli 6S RNA was the first non coding RNA to be sequenced, but its function was unknown until recently. It consists of 184 nucleotides that fold into an extended hairpin structure with a large single-stranded internal bulge. Lineage: Bacteria; Pseudomonadati; Pseudomonadota; Alphaproteobacteria; Parvularculales; Parvularculaceae. The record is from Rfam by way of RNAcentral.